This 2296-nucleotide ribosomal RNA is filed under the name Escherichia coli. RNAcentral's name for it is "partial 23S ribosomal RNA". It matches the Rfam family "Bacterial large subunit ribosomal RNA", at positions 566 to 2843 of the family's 2925-position model. Lineage: Bacteria; Pseudomonadati; Pseudomonadota; Gammaproteobacteria; Enterobacterales; Enterobacteriaceae. The record is from RNAcentral.
AGCAGUGGGAGCACAGAGCAAUCUGUGUGACUGCGUACCUUUUGUAUAAUGGGUCAGCGACUUAUAUUCUGUAGCAAGGUUAACCGAAUAGGGGAGCCGAAGGGAAACCGAGUCUUAACUGGGCGUUAAGUUGCAGGGUAUAGACCCGAAACCCGGUGAUCUAGCCAUGGGCAGGUUGAAGGUUGGGUAACACUAACUGGAGGACCGAACCGACUAAUGUUGAAAAAUUAGCGGAUGACUUGUGGCUGGGGGUGAAAGGCCAAUCAAACCGGGAGAUAGCUGGUUCUCCCCGAAAGCUAUUUAGGUAGCGCCUCGUGAAUUCAUCUCCGGGGGUAGAGCACUGUUUCGGCAAGGGGGUCAUCCCGACUUACCAACCCGAUGCAAACUGCGAAUACCGGAGAAUGUUAUCACGGGAGACACACGGCGGGUGCUAACGUCCGUCGUGAAGAGGGAAACAACCCAGACCGCCAGCUAAGGUCCCAAAGUCAUGGUUAAGUGGGAAACGAUGUGGGAAGGCCCAGACAGCCAGGAUGUUGGCUUAGAAGCAGCCAUCAUUUAAAGAAAGCGUAAUAGCUCACUGGUCGAGUCGGCCUGCGCGGAAGAUGUAACGGGGCUAAACCAUGCACCGAAGCUGCGGCAGCGACGCUGAUGCGUUGUUGGGUAGGGGAGCGUUCUGUAAGCCUGUGAAGGUGUGCUGUGAGGCAUGCUGGAGGUAUCAGAAGUGCGAAUGCUGACAUAAGUAACGAUAAAGCGGGUGAAAAGCCCGCUCGCCGGAAGACCAAGGGUUCCUGUCCAACGUUAAUCGGGGCAGGGUGAGUCGACCCCUAAGGCGAGGCCGAAAGGCGUAGUCGAUGGGAAACAGGUUAAUAUUCCUGUACUUGGUGUUACUGCGAAGGGGGGACGGAGAAGGCUAUGUUGGCCGGGCGACGGUUGUCCCGGUUUAAGCGUGUAGGCUGGUUUUCCAGGCAAAUCCGGAAAACUAAGGCUGAGGCGUGAUGACGAGGCACUACGGUGCUGAAGCAACAAAUGCCCUGCUUCCAGGAAAAGCCUCUAAGCAUCAGGUAACAUCAAAUCGUACCCCAAACCGACACAGGUGGUCAGGUAGAGAAUACCAAGGCGCUUGAGAGAACUCGGGUGAAGGAACUAGGCAAAAUGGUGCCGUAACUUCGGGAGAAGGCACGCUGAUAUGUAGGUGAAGUCCCUCGCGGAUGGAGCUGAAAUCAGUCGAAGAUACCAGCUGGCUGCAACUGUUUAUUAAAAACACAGCACUGUGCAAACACGAAAGUGGACGUAUACGGUGUGACGCCUGCCCGGUGCCGGAAGGUUAAUUGAUGGGGUCAGCGCAAGCGAAGCUCUUGAUCGAAGCCCCGGUAAACGGCGGCCGUAACUAUAACGGUCCUAAGGUAGCGAAAUUCCUUGUCGGGUAAGUUCCGACCUGCACGAAUGGCGUAAUGAUGGCCAGGCUGUCUCCACCCGAGACUCAGUGAAAUUGAACUCGCUGUGAAGAUGCAGUGUACCCGCGGCAAGACGGAAAGACCCCGUGAACCUUUACUAUAGCUUGACACUGAACAUUGAGCCUUGAUGUGUAGGAUAGGUGGGAGGCUUUGAAGUGUGGACGCCAGUCUGCAUGGAGCCGACCUUGAAAUACCACCCUUUAAUGUUUGAUGUUCUAACGUUGACCCGUAAUCCGGGUUGCGGACAGUGUCUGGUGGGUAGUUUGACUGGGGCGGUCUCCUCCUAAAGAGUAACGGAGGAGCACGAAGGUUGGCUAAUCCUGGUCGGACAUCAGGAGGUUAGUGCAAUGGCAUAAGCCAGCUUGACUGCGAGCGUGACGGCGCGAGCAGGUGCGAAAGCAGGUCAUAGUGAUCCGGUGGUUCUGAAUGGAAGGGCCAUCGCUCAACGGAUAAAAGGUACUCCGGGGAUAACAGGCUGAUACCGCCCAAGAGUUCAUAUCGACGGCGGUGUUUGGCACCUCGAUGUCGGCUCAUCACAUCCUGGGGCUGAAGUAGGUCCCAAGGGUAUGGCUGUUCGCCAUUUAAAGUGGUACGCGAGCUGGGUUUAGAACGUCGUGAGACAGUUCGGUCCCUAUCUGCCGUGGGCGCUGGAGAACUGAGGGGGGCUGCUCCUAGUACGAGAGGACCGGAGUGGACGCAUCACUGGUGUUCGGGUUGUCAUGCCAAUGGCACUGCCCGGUAGCUAAAUGCGGAAGAGAUAAGUGCUGAAAGCAUCUAAGCACGAAACUUGCCCCGAGAUGAGUUCUCCCUGACUCCUUGAGAGUCCUGAAGGAACGUUGAAG